Molecule: unclassified non-coding RNA, 183 nt
Filed under: uncultured Metacordyceps
Lineage: Eukaryota; Fungi; Ascomycota; Sordariomycetes; Hypocreales; Clavicipitaceae
Description: sequence contains ITS1
Source: RNAcentral
CAGAGUUUACAACUCCCAAACCCUUAUGUGAACAUACCAAUCGUUGCUUCGGCGAACCGCCCCGGCGUCCGGUCAGCCUCGUGCUGGCCGCGGCCCGGACUCAGGUGGCCGCCGGAGACCCCCAAAACUCUUUUGUAUUUACAGUAUCUUCUGAAUCCGCCGCAAGGCAAAACAAAUGAAUCA